This 445-nucleotide ribosomal RNA is filed under the name uncultured bacterium. RNAcentral describes it as "bacterial SSU rRNA". It matches the Rfam family "Bacterial small subunit ribosomal RNA", at positions 30 to 505 of the family's 1533-position model. The record is from RNAcentral.
AUUGAACGCUGGCGGCAUGCCUUACACAUGCAAGUCGAACGGCAGCACGGGAGCAAUCCUGGUGGCGAGUGGCGAACGGGUGAGUAAUAUAUCGGAACGUGCCCAGUCGUGGGGAUAACGUAGCGAAAGCUACGCUAAUACCGCAUACGAUCUAUGGAUGAAAGCGGGGGAUCGCAAGACCUCGCGCGAUUGGAGCGGCCGAUAUCAGAUUAGGUAGUUGGUGAGGUAAAGGCUCACCAAGCCGACGAUCUGUAGCUGGUCUGAGAGGACGACCAGCCACACUGGGACUGAGACACGGCCCAGACUCCUACGGGAGGCAGCAGUGGGGAAUUUUGGACAAUGGGCGCAAGCCUGAUCCAGCAAUGCCGCGUGCAGGAUGAAGGCCUCGGUUGUUAACGUAGUCUUUUGUUACGGUAACGAAACCGGUAGGAGACGUCUAAUACAG